RNAcentral lists this long non-coding RNA (1175 nucleotides) under Elaeis guineensis (African oil palm). RNAcentral's name for it is "long non-coding RNA (EGUI_LNC021032)". Lineage: Eukaryota; Viridiplantae; Streptophyta; Magnoliopsida; Arecales; Arecaceae. The record is from RNAcentral.
UUUGCAGAUAAAUUAUUUCUUGUAACAAAACGAAGCAUACCCUUUUAACUGAUAAUUCGAUCUCCUUGGAGAACUUGCAAUACUUCAAUACUGCGAUGAACUCCUUGAGCAACAUAAAACAAUGGUCUUCAAACUUCAAAGAACGGCAUCUGCAAGGUCCGACAACUUGAGGAUGAAAUAAAUGAGCUUUUCUUGGUCAUAAACUCCGCUGAUUCUUGAGGAACAGUGAUAUACAACUUCUUAGUUUUCCCAAUAGCAACAUAAGAAAUAAUAUCCAUUCUUCACGAUCAAAGAGCAUUGCAGAUACUUCAGCAGUCCUUUUUCAUUAGACACUAACAUCCAUCGGACAAAAGUAGUUGCUGUCGGGCACAAGGAUAGAUCUGUUAUGCAGUUAAAUCAUCUUAUGCCGAUUCUGCCACUAACUUUAAAUCAUUUGAUCACGCAUUAAAAAUCUUCAGUCACUGAUUAUGAAAGAAUUUUGAUGUUUCGCGCCGUACAAGAUCAUCGUCAUCAUCACCCAAGACCUUCCCACUAGAUAAUUCCAGUUAUUGGAGCAGGACUCAAAACACUGAGAACUGGAAGAUGACUAUCAGAAGAGGAAGUAAUGGUGCAUGUAGAGUAAAAUAGGUGUGGUUGGAGUGUGGUAUUUAUGUCAGUCAGGCAAAUGUAACGGUUGGGUGUGAGAUUUAAACAUAUGAUUAGACUGGGACAGGCAAAAGUUGGACUGAACAAAGCAACUCAUUUCAACGGUUUGGGAUCUGAAAUUGAAAGAACAUGUGACUACUUAACAGCCUGCAAUGCUGGUUUCAGCCAAAUCGGUUUGGUUGUAAUAAGGCAGGUGAGAAACUAAAUCGGUUUGGUUGUAAUAAGGCAGGUGAGAAACUACAGUAUUAUAUAAUUUAAAUGAAACCUCAGUAUAUAGAAUAAGCACAUUCUUAAUUAAUACAUGAAGUUUCCCUUUCCAUCAAAAUAAUAAUAAAUAUUAAUACAUGAAGAUUUUUACAGCAGAACCUAGGAGUUUUCUUACGGACGUUCUCCAGUUGAGCAGUGGAAAGGUGAUGAAGGGAUGGAGUAGAAGGGUUGAUGAAAGGAUCAUCAAAUAAUUUCACAGAGCUAACAAACCCAACAUAGUACAGGUCUCCAUCGUUCCAUGAUUCCGUCCACUCAAGUGAUCG